This 351-nucleotide long non-coding RNA is filed under the name Mus spicilegus (steppe mouse). RNAcentral's name for it is "lncRNA (ENSMSIG00000028758.1)". The record is from RNAcentral. Lineage: Eukaryota; Metazoa; Chordata; Mammalia; Rodentia; Muridae.
CCAUAGAAAUGUAGUCUGUCUCAUUCCCCCCAGAAGCUGUUUUCUUAGUCUCCUGGCAGCCAGGACUCAACUCUAUAACCCGGCUUUGGAAGUUAUUUGCAUCUGCUCAGCUUUUGGGAUGAAGAGUUGGUGACACAGGAGAGGAGGGACAAUAUCUUUACACUAAGAGUCUGAAUGACUAUAAGCCGGCCAUGCCUGAUUAAUGCUAGGACAUACCUCAUAAAUCAAAAAGAAGAAAUCACGUUCAUACUGAAAUCUUUGCUGUUGUAAGAUUGAUCACCAAGCAGCCGAUCCAAGAUCCACCCCUUGGCUCCGUCUCCCUUGUCUACGUAGAUAUUUCAGACAGAGUGG